RNAcentral lists this ribosomal RNA (459 nucleotides) under uncultured bacterium. RNAcentral's name for it is "bacterial SSU rRNA". It matches the Rfam family "Bacterial small subunit ribosomal RNA", at positions 340 to 786 of the family's 1533-position model. The record is from RNAcentral.
UACGGAAGGCAGCAGGUGGGGAAUAUUGCACAAUGGGCGAAAGCCUGAUACAGCUAUGCCGCGUGUAUGAAGAAGGCCUUAGGGUUGUAAAGUACUUUCAUCGGGGAGGAAAAAACAAAACUAAUAAUUUUAUUUCUUGACGUUACCCGAAAAAGAAGCACCGGCUAACUCCGUGCCAGCAGCCGCGGUAAUACGGAGGGUGCUAGCGUUAAUCAGAAUUACUGGGCGUAAAGAGCACGUAGGUGGUUUUUUUAAAGUCAGAUGUGAAAUCCCUGGGCUUUAACCUAGGAACUGCAUUUUGAAACUGAAAUACUAGAGUAUCGUAGAGGGAGGUAGAAUUCUAGGUGUAGCGGUGAAAUGCGUAGAUAUCUGGAGGAAUACCUGUGGCGAAAGCGGCCUCCUAAACGAAUACUGACACUGAGGGUGCGAAAGCUGGGGAGCAAACAGGGAUUAGAUACC